Molecule: transfer RNA, 85 nt
Filed under: Arthrobacter woluwensis
Lineage: Bacteria; Bacillati; Actinomycetota; Actinomycetes; Micrococcales; Micrococcaceae
Also listed under: 5 other names
Description: tRNA_Leu_TAG
Rfam family: tRNA
About the family: Transfer RNA (tRNA) molecules are approximately 80 nucleotides in length. Their secondary structure includes four short double-helical elements and three loops (D, anti-codon, and T loops).
Source: RNAcentral
GCGCGAGUGGUGAAAUUGGCAGACACGCAGGAUUUAGGUUCCUGUGCCUUCGGGCGUGUGGGUUCAAGUCCCACCUUGCGCACCA